AAAAGGGCUCAUCGAAGCCUUUAGGAACGAAUUUCUUGUUUCCUAAAGGUCAAAAUGAAGCCAACAUUAAGAGUUUUUUUGGAAAUGGUCACUGAUUAGAUUAUAUUUUCUAAUUAAUCAGUAUCUACCCGCCAAAAAUACAAAA
Molecule: small nucleolar RNA, 145 nt
Filed under: Strigamia maritima
Lineage: Eukaryota; Metazoa; Arthropoda; Chilopoda; Geophilomorpha; Linotaeniidae
Source: RNAcentral